CAUGCGGCAGCUACACAUGCAAGUCGAGCGGAAACGAUCCUAGCUUGCUAGGAGGCGUCGAGCGGCGGACGGGUGAGUAAUGCAUAGGAAUCUGCCCGGUAGUGGGGGAUAACCUGGGGAAACUCAGGCUAAUACCGCAUACGUCCUACGGGAGAAAGCAGGGGCUCUUCGGACCUUGCGCUAUCGGAUGAGCCUAUGUCGGAUUAGCUGGUUGGUGAGGUAACGGCUCACCAAGGCGACGAUCCGUAGCUGGUCUGAGAGGAUGAUCAGCCACAUCGGGACUGAGACACGGCCCGAACUCCUACGGGAGGCAGCAGUGGGGAAUAUUGGACAAUGGGCGCAAGCCUGAUCCAGCCAUGCCGCGUGUGUGAAGAAGGCCCUCGGGUUGUAAAGCACUUUCAGUGGGGAAGAAAUCCUCGGGGCUAAUACCCUCGAGGGAGGACAUCACCCACAGAAGAAGCACCGGCUAACUCCGUGCCAGCAGCCGCGGUAAUACGGAGGGUGCGAGCGUUAAUCGGAAUUACUGGGCGUAAAGCGCGCGUAGGCGGCGUGAUAAGCCGGUUGUGAAAGCCCCGGGCUCAACCUGGGAACGGCAUCCGG
Molecule: ribosomal RNA, 600 nt
Filed under: Halomonas shengliensis
Lineage: Bacteria; Pseudomonadati; Pseudomonadota; Gammaproteobacteria; Oceanospirillales; Halomonadaceae
Description: bacterial SSU rRNA
Rfam family: Bacterial small subunit ribosomal RNA
Source: RNAcentral